UACGUAGGUGGCAAGCGUUGUUCGGAUUCAUUGGGCGUAAAGGGUGUGUAGGUGGCGCCGUAAGUCGGGUGUGAAAUUUCGGAGCUUAACUCCGAAACUGCAUUCGAUACUGCGGUGCUUGAGGACUGGAGAGGAGACUGGAAUUCAUGGUGUAGCAGUGAAAUGCGUAGAGAUCAUGAGGAAGACCAGUGGCGAAGGCGGGUCUCUGGACAGUUCCUGACACUGAGACACGAAGGCCAGGGGAGCAAACGGG
This 253-nucleotide ribosomal RNA is filed under the name uncultured bacterium. Its description in RNAcentral is "partial 16S ribosomal RNA". It matches the Rfam family "Bacterial small subunit ribosomal RNA", at positions 524 to 776 of the family's 1533-position model. The record is from RNAcentral.